ACGCUGGCGGCAGGCCUAACACAUGCAAGUCGAGCGGAAACGACAACAUUGAAUCUUCGGAGGAUUUGUUGGGCGUCGAGCGGCGGACGGGUGAGUAAUGCCUAGGAAAUUGCCUUGAUGUGGGGGAUAACCAUUGGAAACGAUGGCUAAUACCGCAUAAUGCCUACGGGCCAAAGAGGGGGAUCUUCGGACCUCUCGCGUCAAGAUAUGCCUAGGUGGGAUUAGCUAGUUGGUGAGGUAAUGGCUCACCAAGGCGACGAUCCCUAGCUGGUCUGAGAGGAUGAUCAGCCACACUGGAACUGAGACACGGUCCAGACUCCUACGGGAGGCAGCAGUGGGGAAUAUUGCACAAUGGGCGAAAGCCUGAUGCAGCCAUGCCGCGUGUAUGAAGAAGGCCUUCGGGUUGUAAAGUACUUUCAGUUGUGAGGAAGGGUGUGUAGUUAAUAGCUGCRYAUCUUGACGUUAGCAACAGAAGAAGCACCGGCUAACUCCGUGCCAGCAGCCGCGGUAAUACGGAGGGUGCGAGCGUUAAUCGGAAUUACUGGGCGUAAAGCGCAUGCAGGUGGUUCAUUAAGUCAGAUGUGAAAGCCCGGGGCUCAACCUCGGAACUGCAUUUGAAACUGGUGAACUAGAGUGCUGUAGAGGGGGGUAGAAUUUCAGGUGUAGCGGUGAAAUGCGUAGAGAUCUGAAGGAAUACCAGUGGCGAAGGCGGCCCCCUGGACA
This 723-nucleotide ribosomal RNA is filed under the name Vibrio sp. 13E04. RNAcentral's name for it is "bacterial SSU rRNA". It matches the Rfam family "Bacterial small subunit ribosomal RNA", at positions 33 to 735 of the family's 1533-position model. The record is from RNAcentral. Lineage: Bacteria; Pseudomonadati; Pseudomonadota; Gammaproteobacteria; Vibrionales; Vibrionaceae. RNAcentral also lists the same sequence under 2 other names.